GACGAACGCUGGCGGCGUGCUUAAUACAUGCAAGUCGAGCGGGCACCAUCCGGUGGCAACACUGGUGAAGUGCUAGCGGCGAACGGGUGAGUAACACGUGAGCAACCUGCCCCCAAGUCUGGGAUAACCCCGGGAAACCGGAGCUAAUACCGGAUGCCCUCGUCGGAUCGCAUGGUCUGACGAGGAAAGUUUUUCGCUUGGGGAGGGGCUCGCGGCCUAUCAGCUUGUUGGUGGGGUAACGGCCUACCAAGGCUU
RNAcentral lists this ribosomal RNA (255 nucleotides) under uncultured Actinomycetes bacterium. RNAcentral describes it as "uncultured actinobacterium partial 16S ribosomal RNA". It matches the Rfam family "Bacterial small subunit ribosomal RNA", at positions 28 to 276 of the family's 1533-position model. The record is from RNAcentral. Lineage: Bacteria; Bacillati; Actinomycetota; Actinomycetes.